AUUGGCUGCCAGCCAUUUUCAGAUCAACCAACCUGUCACUGCCAGCCAAUUCAGAGCAUGUGGACUGAUCUUUCAAGUCCCACAGAAUAUCGAGUUAUAAGAUUAUGUAAACACCAAAACUACCGAAUGAAAGAGUAGACUCUCUUCUUUCAUAAGAGAAAAAAAAGUUUGUUUCUACCUUUUUCUUCUUUUGAAAAUGAC
Long non-coding RNA from Salarias fasciatus (jewelled blenny), 201 nucleotides. RefSeq lists it as uncharacterized. NCBI's taxonomy places the organism in Eukaryota, Metazoa, Chordata, Actinopteri, Blenniiformes, Blenniidae. The transcript has 3 exons. The record is from RefSeq and is a predicted model, not a curated record.